UAUCGAAACCUCAAUUACUGUUAUGAAUUUACUAAAUGAGUUAACUCUGAUUUUUCUCAUUGUUUAUUGAAAUCAGUUCUUAAAAAGGCUGAAUCUGAUUUCAUUGUAUUUCUAGGGUGAUAAAAGAAAAUGUGGCUGAAGUUACCCGAAGUUCAGCUUGCAGUGUAAUUCAGAAGAGUUAAGACCAGAAGUACUGGAAUCAUACUUCCUUUCAGUCUUGCCACUUGCCUAGUGAGGCUUUUCCGAACCUGGAAGGAGACGUCUAGAAAUCCCAACUUUGCUGUGUAAGGACCAUUAGCUGCAAGUCAGUGGAAGUCUAUAGAAAGCAGUGUGAAUUCCAUAGUGGUCUUGACUUCUUAGCAAGGAUUUGGGAUAAGUCUAAAACUUCAGACUUAAAGCUUUGAAGCAUGUUAACUGCAUGAAAUAUUAAACAUUUCGAACUUC
RNAcentral lists this long non-coding RNA (444 nucleotides) under Homo sapiens (human). RNAcentral's name for it is "non-protein coding lnc-PSPC1-1:4". The record is from RNAcentral. Lineage: Eukaryota; Metazoa; Chordata; Mammalia; Primates; Hominidae.